AACGAACGCUGGCGGCAGGCUUAACACAUGCAAGUCGAACGCAUCCUUCGGGGUGAGUGGCAGACGGGUGAGUAACGCGUGGGAACGUGCCCUUCAGUUCGGGAUAACCCAGGGAGACUUGGGCUAAUACCGGAUACGUGCGAGAGCAGAAAGAUUUAUCGCUGAAGGAUCGGCCCGCGUCUGAUUAGCUAGUUGGUGGGGUAAUGGCCCACCAAGGCGACGAUCAGUAGCUGGUCUGAGAGGAUGAUCAGCCACAUUGGGACUGAGACACGGCCCAAACUCCUACGGGAGGCAGCAGUGGGGAAUAUUGGACAAUGGGCGCAAGCCUGAUCCAGCCGUGCCGCGUGAGUGAUGAAGGCCUUAGGGUUGUAAAGCUCUUUCGUCCGGGACGAUAAUGACGGUACCGGAAGAAGAAGCCCCGGCUAACUUCGUGCCAGCCGCCGCUGUAA
Molecule: ribosomal RNA, 449 nt
Filed under: uncultured bacterium
Lineage: Bacteria
Description: partial 16S ribosomal RNA
Rfam family: Bacterial small subunit ribosomal RNA
Source: RNAcentral